Molecule: ribosomal RNA, 253 nt
Filed under: uncultured bacterium
Lineage: Bacteria
Description: partial 16S ribosomal RNA
Rfam family: Bacterial small subunit ribosomal RNA
Source: RNAcentral
UACGGAGGAUGCGAGCGUUAAUCGGAAUAACUGGGCGUAAAGGGCACGCAGGCGGGCUUUUAAGUUAGAUGUGAAAUCCCCGGGCUUAACCUGGGAAUAGCAUUUCAGACUGGGAAUCUAGAGUACUUUAGGGAGGGGUAGAAUUCCACGUGUAGCGGGGAAAUGCGUAGAGAUGCGGAGGAAUACCAAAGGCGAAGGCAACCGCUUGGGAAUGUACUGACGCUCAUAUGCUAAAGCGCGGGGAGCGAACGGG